RNAcentral lists this ribosomal RNA (508 nucleotides) under uncultured bacterium. RNAcentral describes it as "partial 16S ribosomal RNA". It matches the Rfam family "Bacterial small subunit ribosomal RNA", at positions 29 to 523 of the family's 1533-position model. The record is from RNAcentral.
AUUGAACGCUGGCGGCAGGCCUAACACAUGCAAGUCGAGCGGCAGCGGGAAAGUAGCUUGCUACUUUUGCCGGCGAGCGGCGGACGGGUGAGUAAUGCCUGGGGAUCUGCCCAGUCGAGGGGGAUAACUACUGGAAACGGUAGCUAAUACCGCAUACGCCCUACGGGGGAAAGCAGGGGACCUUCGGGCCUUGCGCGAUUGGAUGAACCCAGGUGGGAUUAGCUAGUUGGUGAGGUAAUGGCUCACCAAGGCGACGAUCCCUAGCUGGUCUGAGAGGAUGAUCAGCCACACUGGAACUGAGACACGGUCCAGACUCCUACGGGAGGCAGCAGUGGGGAAUAUUGCACAAUGGGGGAAACCCUGAUGCAGCCAUGCCGCGUGUGUGAAGAAGGCCUUCGGGUCGUAAAGCACUUUCAGCGAGGAGGAAAGGUCAGUAGCUAAUAUCUGCUGGCUGUGACGUUACUCGCAGAAGAAGCACCGGCUAACUCCGUGCCAGCCGCCGCGGUAA